RNAcentral lists this small RNA (89 nucleotides) under Pedobacter suwonensis. RNAcentral's name for it is "Flavo-1 RNA". It matches the Rfam family "Flavo-1 RNA". The record is from RNAcentral. Lineage: Bacteria; Pseudomonadati; Bacteroidota; Sphingobacteriia; Sphingobacteriales; Sphingobacteriaceae.
ACCUAAACGGGAUGGUAGCGGUAUCCUUUUGUGUCGCCCUGAGCGCAGCCGAAGGGCAGCAAAAGAUAUAGCGAACAGCCCGGCCGGAA